Molecule: non-coding RNA, 210 nt
Organism: Vicia faba (fava bean)
Lineage: Eukaryota; Viridiplantae; Streptophyta; Magnoliopsida; Fabales; Fabaceae
Source: the annotation of a GenBank genome assembly
AUGUCUCCAAUGCAUCGCCUAUAUAAAGAAGACUUGAAUAUAAAAUUAAUAGACAACAAUUGUGCACCAAAUAAAAAAUAUUAUUACCCAGUUCUAUCUUGUGCUCUUCAAUUAUGUAUACAUCACUAUUGUAAUAUAGUUUUGUUUAGAAAACAUCUUUGUACAUCAGUGAUUUGUAGUACUCCAGCUGGGGAAUCUGUAGGUUGCUAG